GAUGAACGCUGGCGGCGUGCCUAAUACAUGCAAGUCGAGCGAACGGACGAGAAGCUUUUUUCUCUGAUGUUAGCGGCGGACGGGUGAGUAACACGUGGAUAACCUACUUAUAAGACUGGGAUAACCUCGGGAAACCGGAGCGAAUACCGGGUAAUAUUCUGAAUCGCAUGGUACAAAAGUGAAAGACGGUCUUGCAGUCACUAAUAGAUUGAUCCGCGCUUCAUUAGCUAGUUGGUAAGGUAACGGCGUACCAAGGCAACGAGGCAUAGCAGACCUGAGAGGGUGAUCGGACACACUGGAACUGAGACACGGUCCAGACUACUACGGGAGGCAGCAGUCGGGAAUAUUCCGCAAUGGGCGAAAGCCUGACGGAGCAACGCCGCGUGAGUGAUGAAGGCCUUCGGGUCGUAAAACUCUGUUGUUAGGGAAGAACAUAUGUGUAUGUAAAUGUGAACAUAUUGACGGUACCUAAUCAGAAAGCCACGGCUAACUACGUG
This 497-nucleotide ribosomal RNA is filed under the name uncultured bacterium. Its description in RNAcentral is "partial 16S ribosomal RNA". It matches the Rfam family "Bacterial small subunit ribosomal RNA", at positions 28 to 507 of the family's 1533-position model. The record is from RNAcentral.